Molecule: ribosomal RNA, 574 nt
Filed under: Trichophyton interdigitale
Lineage: Eukaryota; Fungi; Ascomycota; Eurotiomycetes; Onygenales; Arthrodermataceae
Also listed under: 1 other name
Description: eukaryotic LSU rRNA
Rfam family: Eukaryotic large subunit ribosomal RNA
Source: RNAcentral
AAACCAACAGGGAUUGCCCCAGUAACGGCGAGUGAAGCGGCAAGAGCUCAAAUUUGAAAUCUGGCCUCCCCCGGGGGCCCGAGUUGUAAUUUGCAGAGGAUGCUUCGGGUGCGGCCGCCGUCUAAGUUCCUUGGAACAGGACGUCAGAGAGGGUGAGAAUCCCGUCUUGGGCGGGCGGUCCGCGCCCGUGUGAAGCUCCUUCGACGAGUCGAGUUGUUUGGGAAUGCAGCUCUAAGCGGGUGGUAAAUUUCAUCUAAAGCUAAAUAUUGGCCGGAGACCGAUAGCGCACAAGUAGAGUGAUCGAAAGGUUAAAAGCACCUUGAAAAGGGAGUUAAACAGCACGUGAAAUUGUUGAAAGGGAAGCGCUUGCGGCCAGACUCGGGGGCGGGGUUCAGCGGGUGCUCGUCGCCCGUGUAUUCCUCGUCUCCCGGGCCAGCAUCAGUUUCGACGGCCGGUCAAAGGCCCCCGGAAUGUGUCGUCUCUCGGGACGUCUUAUAGCCGGGGGUGCAAUGCGGCCCGUCGGGACUGAGGAACGCGCUCCGGCUCGGAUGCUGGCGUAAUGGCCGUAAGCGGC